RNAcentral lists this ribosomal RNA (253 nucleotides) under uncultured bacterium. Its description in RNAcentral is "partial 16S ribosomal RNA". It matches the Rfam family "Bacterial small subunit ribosomal RNA", at positions 524 to 776 of the family's 1533-position model. The record is from RNAcentral.
UACAUGGGGUGCAAACGUUGCUCGGAAUUAUUGGGCGUAAAGCGCGCGUAGGCGGUUACUUAAGUCGGAUGUGAAAGCCCUCGGCUUAACUGAGGAAGUGCACCCGAAACUGAGUAGCUAGAGUACGAAAGAGGGUCGCGGAAUUCCCGGUGUAGAGGUGAAAUUCGUAGAUAUCAGGAGGAACACCGAUGGCGAAGGCAGCUCGCUGGGACGGUACUGACGCUGAGACGCGAAAGCGUGGGGAGCAAACAGG